UGGGAACUGACUCCCCCACCAGCACCCUGCACCAGGAUGUGGUUUUCUGACUGGGUAACCAACACACAAAAUCUAAAGAAGGGGCUCGCUUCUGGGACCAGAACCUCCACUCUGCCUGGUACAAAACAGGAGCAGAUCUUGGUCUCCAGAUUCCAGGCUCCAGUGAGGAAGGACACACUUGGUUUUGCAGAUGAAAGGCCCUGGGAUCUCUUCUGCUUUCAGCAAGGCCUUGUGUUCGAGGCUCCCCCUUACCCUCCUGGGGGUGGGCAAGGGGCUCACCCCACCUCACCUGCACAGCGAGGUGCUUGCUGGCCACAGACUGUGUGUCUGGUCCUCAUGAAAUGUCUUAUCCUGCCCUGUACCUGUGUAUCAGCCUCUCAUGUGCUGGGGGUAACGCAGUGAGUGGGCCCCGAUACUGCUUUUUCCUUCUG
RNAcentral lists this long non-coding RNA (431 nucleotides) under Canis lupus dingo (dingo). RNAcentral's name for it is "lncRNA (ENSCAFG00020010478.1)". The record is from RNAcentral. Lineage: Eukaryota; Metazoa; Chordata; Mammalia; Carnivora; Canidae.